AGUGAACGCUGGCGGUAGGCCUAACACAUGCAAGUCGAACGGCAGCACAGGAGAGCUUGCUCUCUGGGUGGCGAGUGGCGGACGGGUGAGGAAUACAUCGGAAUCUACUUUUUCGUGGGGGAUGACGUAGGGAAACUUACGCUAAUACCGCAUACGACCUACGGGUGAAAGCAGGGGAUCUUCGGACCUUGCGCGAUUGAAUGAGCCGAUGUCGGAUUAGCUAGUUGGCGGGGUAAAGGCCCACCAAGGCGACGAUCCGUAGCUGGCCUGAGAGGAUGAUCAGCCACACUGGAGAUGAGACACGGUCCAGACUCCUACGGGAGGCAGCAGUGGGGAAUAUUGGACAAUGGGCGCAAGCCUGAUCCAGCCAUACCGCGUGGGUGAAGAAGGCCUUCGGGUUGUAAAGCCCUUUUGUUGGGAAAGAAAUCCAGCUGGCUAAUACCCGGUUGGGAUGACGGUACCCAAAGAAUAAGCACCGGCUAACUUCGUGCCAGCCGCCGCGGUAA
This 506-nucleotide ribosomal RNA is filed under the name uncultured bacterium. RNAcentral describes it as "partial 16S ribosomal RNA". It matches the Rfam family "Bacterial small subunit ribosomal RNA", at positions 29 to 523 of the family's 1533-position model. The record is from RNAcentral.